GCCCUUGUGGAUCAGUGGAGAUCAUCUCAAAGCUGUGUUUGGUGACAGAUAUUACAGAUAUUUCUUGAGAUGCAGGUUCAACUCCUGCCGAGGGCA
This is a non-coding RNA of Mycena maculata, 96 nucleotides long. The record is from the annotation of a GenBank genome assembly. NCBI's taxonomy places the organism in Eukaryota, Fungi, Basidiomycota, Agaricomycetes, Agaricales, Mycenaceae.